CAAAAAACAAAGACAGACAGGAGGUGGAGAGGGACAAACAGGACAGAGAACACUGCCGGAGACACAGACUGAUGUGCAGUGCUCAGCCAUAACAUUAGAACCAAUGGAUGAUGUGAUAAACACACAAAACGUUUCUGAAGUGCUGUACUCAGCUAUAAACCCCAAAACGAAAUGCAAAAAAGCCCCAAAACAG
Molecule: long non-coding RNA, 193 nt
Organism: Trichomycterus rosablanca
Lineage: Eukaryota; Metazoa; Chordata; Actinopteri; Siluriformes; Trichomycteridae
Exons: 3
Source: RefSeq, a predicted model, not a curated record